GAUGAACGCUAGCUACAGGCUUAACACAUGCAAGUCGAGGGACCGGCGCACGGGUGAGUAACACGUAUCCAACCUGCCCUUUACUCGGGGAUAGCCUUUCGCAAGAACGAUUAAUACCCGAUGUAAAGGAUGGGGAUGCGUUCGAUUAGGUUGUUGGUAAGGUAACGUCUCACCAAGCCAUCGAUGGAUAGGGGGUCUGAGAGGAAGGUCCCCCAGAUUGGAACUGAGACACGGUCCAAACUCCUAGGGGAGGCAGCAGUGAGGAAUAUUGGUCAAUGGGCGUUAGCCUGAACCAGCCAAGUAGCGUGAAGGAUGAAGGCUUAUGGGUCGUAAACUUCUUUUAUAUAAGAAUAUGUAUUAUAUGAAUAAGGAUCGGCUAACUCCGUGCCAGCCGCCGCGGUAAUUC
This 406-nucleotide ribosomal RNA is filed under the name uncultured bacterium. RNAcentral describes it as "partial 16S ribosomal RNA". It matches the Rfam family "Bacterial small subunit ribosomal RNA", at positions 28 to 526 of the family's 1533-position model. The record is from RNAcentral.